ACAAACAAACAAAUAAAUAAACAACUACUAUCCCCUUACUCCAUAGGAUGGUAAACAUGAGGCUAUAGUGAAGAACAUACAUGAAUUGUUAGUUUAGUUAGCCUGGGACUUCUCUCCCAAUCAGUUGGACCACUUGUUUGGCUGCUUUCAGAAGAGCUGGGUAGGAGCUAGUAAGAAGCAAAGAGAUGAACUGUUGGACUUUAUAAGAUGCUUAGCAGAGGAUGACUAGGAGGGAAUAAUGGCCAGUAAAGUGCUGGAGCUCAAAAACUGAUUUAUUAUUUUUUGUCGAGAAUCUCAUAAGUGCCAUUACUAAUUCUGCUCGUUCCUGUCCCUCAGUUAUGAAGAGAAUAUUUCAUUUAUUA
Molecule: long non-coding RNA, 362 nt
Organism: Amphimedon queenslandica
Lineage: Eukaryota; Metazoa; Porifera; Demospongiae; Haplosclerida; Niphatidae
Exons: 2
Source: RefSeq, a predicted model, not a curated record